AGCAGCCGCGGUAAUUCCAGCUCCAAUAGCGUAUAUUAAAGUUGUUGCAGUUAAAAAGCUCGUAGUUGAAUUUCGGGAUCAAUACGUCGGUCGUGCUUAGGUACGUACUGGCGUAAUUGAUUUCUCCCUUCUGACGAACCAUGAUGUCAUUAACUUGGUGUCAUGGGAAAUCAGGACUGUUACUUUGAAAAAAUUGAGUGUUUAAAGCAGGCUCACGCUUGAAUACAUUAGCAUGGAAUAAUGAAAUAGGACGUUCGAUCCUUAUUUUGUUGGUUUUUAGGAUCAACGUAUGAUUAAUAGGGAUAGUUGGGGGCAUUAGUAUUCAAUUGUCAGAGGUGAAAUUCUUGGAUUUAUUGAAGACUAACUACUGCGAAAGCGUUUGCCAAGGAUUGUUUUCAUUAAUCAAGAACGAAAGUUAGGGGAUUACGGAAGACGAUCAGAUACCGUCGUAGUCUUAACCAUAAACCUAUACGACCGACGUAGGGAUCGGAUUGAUUUAGUUAAUUUUUUAAUGUACUUC
RNAcentral lists this ribosomal RNA (520 nucleotides) under uncultured Glomus. Its description in RNAcentral is "SSU rRNA". It matches the Rfam family "Eukaryotic small subunit ribosomal RNA", at positions 569 to 1094 of the family's 1831-position model. Lineage: Eukaryota; Fungi; Glomeromycota; Glomeromycetes; Glomerales; Glomeraceae. The record is from RNAcentral.